RNAcentral lists this transfer RNA (85 nucleotides) under Felis catus (domestic cat). It matches the Rfam family "tRNA". Rfam says of the family: Transfer RNA (tRNA) molecules are approximately 80 nucleotides in length. Their secondary structure includes four short double-helical elements and three loops (D, anti-codon, and T loops). Further hydrogen bonds mediate the characteristic L-shaped molecular structure. tRNAs have two regions of fundamental functional importance: the anti-codon, which is responsible for specific mRNA codon recognition, and the 3' end, to which the tRNAs corresponding amino acid is attached (by aminoacyl-tRNA synthetases). tRNAs cope with the degeneracy of the genetic code in two manners: having more than one tRNA (with a specific anti-codon) for a particular amino acid; and 'wobble' base-pairing, i.e. permitting non-standard base-pairing at the 3rd anti-codon position. Lineage: Eukaryota; Metazoa; Chordata; Mammalia; Carnivora; Felidae. The record is from Rfam by way of RNAcentral.
GCCUGGGUGGCUCAGUCGGUGAAGCAUCUGACUUUGGCUCAGGUCAUGAUCUCACAGUUCGUGAGUUCAAGCCCCACAUCUGGCU